Molecule: long non-coding RNA, 201 nt
Filed under: Elaeis guineensis (African oil palm)
Lineage: Eukaryota; Viridiplantae; Streptophyta; Magnoliopsida; Arecales; Arecaceae
Description: long non-coding RNA (EGUI_LNC060345)
Source: RNAcentral
ACCUCUUGAUGCGAUGCCACCAAAGCUCAGUAGCAAUAGAUUGGCGUACUAAGUAGCGGCCAAGAUAAAUCAACUUUAAAGAAUUGGUGCACUAAGUAGGGGCCAAGAUAAAUCAACUUUAAAGGAGAAAAUGGCAAGAAUGAAAGCAAGGAAUGCUUCGACCAACUUUGGUUGGCAUUCCUCAUAGUAGGAGGAACAUCC